Molecule: ribosomal RNA, 301 nt
Filed under: uncultured bacterium
Lineage: Bacteria
Description: partial 16S ribosomal RNA
Rfam family: Bacterial small subunit ribosomal RNA
Source: RNAcentral
CAGCCGCCGCGGGAAUACGUAGGGUGCAAGCGUUAAUCGGAAUUACUGGGCGUAAAGCGUGCGCAGGCGGUUAUAUAAGACAGAUGUGAAAUCCCCGGGCUCAACCUGGGAACUGCAUUUGUGACUGUAUAGCUAGAGUACGGCAGAGGGGGAUGGAAUUCCGCGUGUAGCAGUGAAAUGCGUAGAUAUGCGGAGGAACACCGAUGGCGAAGGCAAUCCCCUGGGCCUGUACUGACGCUCAUGCACGAAAGCGUGGGGAGCAAACAGGAUUAGAUACCCGUGUAGCCCUGUCUCUUAUACC